Molecule: long non-coding RNA, 809 nt
Organism: Solanum stenotomum
Lineage: Eukaryota; Viridiplantae; Streptophyta; Magnoliopsida; Solanales; Solanaceae
Exons: 3
Source: RefSeq, a predicted model, not a curated record
UUCUUUCUACUUCUCAACUCUUCAAUGGCGAAUCGAGUUGUUCUUUACUCUUUUCUGUUUGUCUACAUCUCUCUGAAGCUUUGCUGAAGAUUUUUGUUUGUCUCCGACGACCUACGCAGGUUCUUCUUCAUGGUUUUAGCAAAAUUUCAAUGGCGACUCCAUCUCUUCUUUACUGUUUUCUCUUUGUCUACAGCCUUUAAAUCUGUCUCUCAACCUUUGCUGAAGAUUUCUGUUUCUCUCCGACAACCUGCGCAGCCUUUAAAUUUCUCUCUCAAGGUUUGCUCAACAUUUCUGUUUGUCUCGGACGACCUGCACAGGUAUUUCUUUAUCGUUUACGCGAAAUCUCAAGGGCGAAUCCAUCUGUUCUUUACUGUUUUCUGUUUCUCUACAGCCUUUAAAUCUCUCUUGUCUUUCUUCUUACUCCUUUGUGCUCAAAUUGGGUAUAUUUACUUCUAAUUGUUGGUGCCUACAAGCUAUCGCUGAAGCUGAAGCCCAAUCGUUGAAGAUGGAUGCCAUACCUAUGAGGUGUUUAACAGAAAAUCCAAAAAUAAAAGGGCAGAUUCCAUCACCAUCAAUCUUCUUGCUCCGUGAGAAUCAAGUUGUGGCUAACUAUAACGAGUCCCUAAUUAAAGAUCACCAUUCGGAUUCAAAUGAAAGGCUGGAAAGUGGAUUAAUUCUUUGAUCACAUUUUGCUAUUAUGUAUUCCAGUUAUGCUUUGGCUAUUUGGUAUGGUGCAAGGUUCAUCUCGGAUAAAGGAUAUAUUGGUGGUCAAGUUCUUAAUGUUUUCGACUCCAAGCUUCUCCAUGAAG